Long non-coding RNA from Aedes aegypti (yellow fever mosquito), 1034 nucleotides. RefSeq lists it as uncharacterized. The transcript is spliced from 2 exons. The record is from RefSeq and is a predicted model, not a curated record. NCBI's taxonomy places the organism in Eukaryota, Metazoa, Arthropoda, Insecta, Diptera, Culicidae.
UGUUCACAUGCGUUGUAGUCGCGAUACUGAAGCUCUGCAAUGCCCUAUUGUAAUGGCCCCAGUCAAAUCAGUCGCGACCGUCGUAUCAGGAUAGCCGAUGCUGGUUCGGCUCCACCAGCGCAAAGGGUUUAUAGGAAGCAACUCCGAAUUGAAGCUGGAGCUUAACGGUUCUGAUCGGGCUCCUACAGAUGAAGGCGUCGAAUGGAUCUCCCGAACGUGUUGGUUCCUCGUGUCGCUAUUGGGCCCAAAGAAAAACCCACGUCAACGUGGGCUUUCCACCUGGUUGACGUGUCCGAUUAGACAACGGAUUUGACUUUACAAUUUAAUCAAUUACCUGAUAAGAUGGCCAAACUUCGAGCAAAUUAUCGGUUUGGUUUCUAAUUGGUUCGAUUAUACGUGCAGCUCUAAAAUAAUCAUAACGGAUAAGCAAUGGCUUCUAUUAACCAAACUACACGUGGUCGUCACCUUUCUAACUAUCCCCUUCAGCUUGGGCGUCACUUGGAAAACCACAAGAGGGAGCACACAAUUACACUGUAUGUCUAUACUUUUUCUCUUAAUUCUAACUAUUUUCACAUUUUUCCUUGUGGAUUACAUAUGGCAUAAUAAUCAUAGUAUUCACUUUUUUAUCAACUCUAGCUAUUCCUAAACGAUCCGAUGAACAUCGUAGUCCAAACUCAAGUGGUAUGAGCUAUCUCCCGCAUUCCGUGGAUGAAAAACUUCACAACCACUGAGAUGAUGGGAGGCAAUCUGCAAAUCUCUUCAUGAACGAUAAACCAGAGAGUUUCUUCGACGCGGAGCCAAAUUAUUUCUCGCGUUUCGUGAGUACUGCAGUUUACGCCAUUCACGUAUAGACGGCGCUAUUCGUAUGCUGGCAGUUUUUUUAAUUUGAACGGGUUAGGGUUUACGGGAUAGGAGUAUCGUUACAAAUAGUGAACACAAUCAACAGAAAAAUUUGAAGAAAACCCAAUUUUUUUUCAUAGCUUAACAUUUUAACGACAAGACUUCCUGUUUGUUACAGUCUUUAAUUUAUUAAA